UUUUUUUUUUGUUGGAUUCUUUUUUUUCUAGUGUUUUGGCUAUUUUCGAUUAGCUAUACCAUGUAUAUUGUUUAGAAAAAUGAUGGCAUGUGAAGUAACACCACCACAAUAGGUGGGUUGUUGCUAUGCACCCUUGCUUCUUUCUGGUGUGUAGCUUGUCAAAACUUAUUAAUCUUAAUGUGAUUAUGUGUUACUGUUCAAAGUCAGUAUCAUAAUAUCGAGUUGUAAUAUCCCAGGGGCGCUUACCUGAUGGUAGAAAGGUUGCUGUAAAGAGGAUCAUACAAUCUUCUCAAGUUGAUUAAGGUGGUGAGGCUUUCAUGAGAAAGUGGACGUCAUGUCGAAGCUCAAGCAUAGCAACCUUGUUCAACUCCUCCAUUACUGCAAGGAUGGGAAUGAGCGGAUACUAGUCUACGAGUACAUGAAGAACGAGAGUUUGGACCUCUACAUAUCUGGUACAUCACAAUACACAUAAGUAUACAAUAUACAUUAACAUGUGUCUUACGGUCAUAAUCUCUGCUAUCUAUGGAACUAACAGGAGAAGAUCCAAAACUUCAUGCUUUGCUGAAUUGGGAGCGUAGGCUGGAAAUAAUUCGAGGGGUUGCAAAAGGUGUUUUCUUAUCUUCAUGGACUAAACGAGGAAGUGAUUCACAGAGAUCUAAAACCGUCCAAUAUUCUUCUGGAUGACAAUUGGAGGCCUAAGAUCGCAGACUUUGGCACUGCAAAAUUCUUUGUUGUUGACCAGACAGAUCCAACACUAGUACAAACAGCGCAUGAUCAAAACCUGAAGUCCCUAGCUACUGUUUCAAUUCAUAGCAGCUAGGCUUUUAUUAUUUUUCCUUUUUGGAAAAAGUUCAAAUUACUCCCCUAAAGUAUAACCAAAGUCUGAAUAACCCCCUAAAGUAUUUUUUGUUCAGUUUACCCCUUAAACUAUGCCAUUUGGUUCAAUUUACCCCUUAACACAAUUUGCCUCUUUUGUUUCUCUAUGCACAAGUGGAAUCUUAAGUUCAAAUUUUGCAAGAUAAUAGCAGACAUCAUAAGACAUGUUAGAAAAAUAUAUCAUAAUUUUUUUAUCAUUAUUUUGAUAGGGUAGGAUAUUUAAUGGCAAAAUCUAUACUAGAGAUACAAAAUUAUAUAAAUAAUAAUGAAAAAUUCAUAAAAUAUUUUUUAAUAUAGAUUAUGAUGUCAACUACCACCAUCCAAAUAUCAAAUUAAAAUUCAACUUGUGUAUGGAGAAAUAAAAAGGACAAAUUGCAUUAUGGGGUAAGUUUAACCAAAUAGCAUAGUUUAGGGGGUAAAUUGAACCAAAACAUAGUUUAGGGGGUUAUUUGGACUUUCCUGAAGGGAGUAAUUUGAACUUUUUCCCUUUUUGUACAUAGUAUUUCACAUUACAUGCCGACGCGGAAUUUUAAUAGAUGACCUUUUUCUUUUACCAGUAUAGAUCCUUUAUUGUUAAGGUUUUGAUAUUGAACUGUUUUCUUUUUACCGAAGGGGGUACACGGCUCCAGAAUACAUGAUGGAACGGUAUUUAACGCUCAAGUGCGAUUUGUACAGCUUUGGAGUUAUCAUGCUGGAGAUAGUCAGUGGCCAAAAGAACAGAAACACACCAACGCUCCUUUCUGAUGUGAGCAUACUGCUGCCAGAAAUUAUGCAAAGACCUUUUUCAUUUUUGGGCAAGUAUAUAUGACAGUUGUUUAACCCUUUGCAGGCCUGGGAAUCUUGGAAUCAACAUAGGAUCACUGAGCUUCUGGAUUCAGCAGUUUCCCAACCGGAGCCUGAGCUCCUGUUCGAACUGGAGAGAUGUUUGCAGAUAGGCCUUCUCUGCGUGCAGCAAUCGCCCAACGACAGGCCUACCAUGUAUGCAGUGAUUACAAUGCUCAACAACAGCAGCUCACAGAUCCGUGCCCCUAAAAGGCCAGUGUUCGACAGCAUAACCGAGCCUUCUCUCCGCAAGAAAGAUGGCUCGACGCAGGAAGAAGCAUCCAGCACGUCGCACGGCAGCUACACGAUCUACCUCUCAUAGCAGGGAAAGGAGCGAAAGUAGCUAUAGGUCAAUAUAUGAUUUGUGAGCCGAAUCCUUUUAUUAAUUCCUUUCGGUUUGGGUAUGCUACAAAAAAAAUCAUUUGGUUUUGGGUUCUUGAUUGUGUUAUCUCAAUCUACCAGGGUGUCGCUUGUUAUGUGUGUUCUCUUUUGUUCCUUGCAUCGCCUUUGUUUUCCUUCCUUUCUUUGUGUGUACCCAUAACUGGUUUAGAAUUUUGUAAACCAGAAUAUUUUUCUCUUUUUUUGGCCAAAAAAACUAAAGCAGGUCACUUCUUGAGUUGUCGCCAAAUCUGAGUAAAGUGAAGCAAAUAAACCCAAAUUAAAUGAUCUAUUUGCUAUUGCUUUCUCGGUUGGUAGUUGGCACAUAUAGAGGCCGGAGAUUAUUUCCUUAACUUUUUUUAGGAAAAUUAUUUCCUUAACCUAAUAGCUAGACAAUAGCAAAUCAUGUGAAGGUUGACCACGGGAUCAAGAGUCAGCCGGUCCGGGCCAAUCACGUGAGGUUGACCACGGUAGACGGGUCGUCCACGAUGGCGCCGCCGCCGGUCGCUUCACCGGCGAGAAGAGGCCUCGUCGUUCGACACUCGAGGACGGGCCUCCUUGGCUGGUCCAGCUGCGAGGUCCUGCUGGUCAGCGUGGCGAGAGCUGCCGACAUGGCCGGCCUGUGGCCGGGCGACCGCUGCACGCAGAGGAGGCCGAUAUGGAUGCACCUCCGCAGCUCGGACAGGAGGUCGGCGUCGGAGUCGGAGCAAGGUCGCGGCACCGCCAGGUCGAGGAGGUCCAUGAUCCUGUGCUCUUCCCAGAGCUUCCAUGCCUGCAAAAUCACUGCAAAUUCAGCAUGUUUACCUGAACAGAUGCCAACGGAAAAGGACGUCGCGUGCUCACAUGCGAGAGGAGGCUUGGCUCGGCGCUGUUCCUCCGGCCGCUGACGACCUCGAGCAGCACGACGCCGAAGCUGAAGACGUCGCAUUUCAGCGUCAUGUCCCCGUCCUUGGCGUACUCCGGCGGCGCGUAUCCCCUUCGUGCAACUUGCCCGUGUCAGUCGAUGCUGAAGUUUAGCUGUGUACGCUCUGAUGUCAAGAACAGAAGCUACUCACGGUGAAACCACUACAGUUUGCGUCCCUGUCUGAUCGACACGGAACAGCUUCACCGUGCCGAAGUCUGCUAUCUUAGGCUUCUAUCGGCUGUCCAGAAGCACAUUGGACGGCUUAAGAUCUCGGUGGAUCACGAUCUCGCCUGUCCCCUCAUGAAGGUAGCAGACGCCUCGAGCGAUUCCAUGGAUGAUCUCCAACCUCGUCGGCCAACUCAAUGAAGCACGAACGCUGAGUUUUCCUGUCAGUUCCAGUUUUUGAAGCAAUGAAGUUUCAAGUUGUGUAGCAAUGAUACAUCAAGAAAUGCAGGGUCAGUGCGUACCAAAUAUGUAGAGAUUCAGGCUCCUGUUCUGCAUGUACUCGUACACCAGCAGCCGCUCGUUGCCCUGGUCGCAGAACGCGAGGAGCCGGACUAGGUUGUCGUGCCGGAGCUUGGACAUGACCGCCACUUCCCUCGUGAAAUCGUCCAGGACUCUGUUUGGCAGGGAUGAAAGCUUAAGCCUCUUCACGGCGACCUUUCUCCCAGGUAGUCCUCCGGCCAGAGGAUGAUCAUUCGGUAGCUGACCCUGCAAACAGUCAGCUGGAGAUGUGUUACACAAUGCAGAUUUGAAUUUGAAAAAAUGCGUUCUCUGGUUUUUGGACAAAAUCAGCACAAGCGUUUGCAGACCUCAUAGACGAUGCCGAAGGCGCCUUCGCCGAUCACAUUCGUUUUGGAGAAAUUCCCUGUGGCCUUCUCUACGGUGGCCAACAGCCGCAGCAUCCAGAGGCUUGUGUGCUUCCACAUCAGCAACGCCAUUAUUUCGAGAUACUUGUGCGAGACGCCAAGUUUUGUGUCUCAUGUUCCUGCAGAUAAUGAAGGCUACAGAAAGAAAAAUGGCCGCAACGGCGCAAACAACAGAUAUGGCUGCGAUGACGGCCGCACUUAUCCUCCUGGUCCUGGCAUCAUCUUCUGAGGAGAGUUGACAGAAGCAUGGCUCAAUUGCCAGAGCUGAGGUUUCCCAGGAAGAAUGAACAUGCCAACACUUGAGAACUUUUUACGCUGACAUACCUACUUCAGACUUGGCGAGCCUAAGGUAGAGGUCCUGCCCUUUGUCCAUGUACCGGACGUCGACAAUGUCAUGGGUCCAGAUGAUGCAUCCACUGCCAGCACCACCUCCUCGGAUGUCCGCGGCGGCGUAGGCCACGCACGAACAGUUUGCGAGGCACCUCGCGCUGCACUCCUCCACCGACGCGUUGUGCGUGUCGGGCAGCUUCACAUUCCGAACGAUCACGAACCCGUCCGUCGUCGUCGUCCCAUUGUCGCAGUCCAGCGGCACGUUCCGCCGGCACCCGCCGGAGGCCUCCCUCAUGCGCCACGCCGACGUGGACGCAGGGCCGAACCCCUUGGCGCAGCCCCUUGACGUUGCACAGGCCGAACGGCCCGCACCUGGCGUAGGCGUCGCACGUGUCCCGCGGCGUGCUGUAGAAGGUCUUCCACGCCCCGCUGCUGGGGUCCCAGACCAGGCGCUGGAUCGCGCCGUCCUCGGUCACCACGAGCCGGGAGAAGGGCGCGCCGGCCUUGGCGUGGUAGCUGUAGGUGACCUCGCCGGGGCUCGCCGUCACCUGGUACGCGAACAUGUCGGCGUACUACCGCAUCUCGGGCACGCCGUUGAACCAAAGGCCGUUCCACGGGCCCGUACGGUACUUCUUCGCGCCGCCGUGCCACACGACGUUCUCCGGAAGCCCGGCCGUCUGUGUCCCUCGCCGGUAUGGCCCGGGGGCCGGGUCGUUGGCCGACCGCCACGACGUGAGGUACCACUCGGCUCCGGUCCACAGAUUCUUGCCGGUCUUCAUGCCGGGCAGCAAGGUGUUCGACGGAUGGUCGAACGACUGCCACAGGACGGCGCUGCUGUUCCGGUGGCGGAGGACGACCAGGUUGCCGGAAUGCAGCAGCCGCGCCACCGCCGAAGCGUCGCCGACCGAGUUCGAGGACCAGACGACCUGCCCGGAGCCGUCUGGAAGGAAGAGCCUCCCGGUGUCGCCGAGCACCAGCACGCCGGAGGUGUCAUUGAGAGGCCGUUCCCGGUUGGCCACCCAGCACACGGCGGUCUCCGAGACGGAGAACCAUAUCCAAGGUACCUCCGGGUGGUCACUCCAGGAGAGAAGAAACCCAGCGUGAAGAACCCACCGGACGAGACGAGCGUCUCGCCGUCGGUGAUGUUGCGGCCGUGGUCGAACAUGUCGGAAAUGCAGGCGGCUGGUGUUCCGAGAAGGAACAGAGACAGAGAUAGGAAGACGAGGACAUGGCUGGCCAUUAAGCUCGUGAUCGACGGAUAGGUGUUUCCUGCUCUUGAUGAGCAACAAGGUCAUACGGCAUUGACUGCUGAUAUAUACUAGUAUGAUCCAACAUGCUUUACUACUCUCGAGUUACGAUCUCGAAUUCUAGGAGCUGGCGGAAUAUAGUAAUGAGAGUUGUCCAUGGAUUGGCGGGAAAGUUAAAGGGGCCUUUGGUAGGGCUCUGGCCUCUGGCUCCGGCUUUUGCACCGGCUUCAGGCCAAACCCUACCAAACGGCUGAGUUGAAAAGGGCUUCACAGGAAAAGCCGGUGUGAAGAAGCCGGUCAUCAAAUUGAACUGAGCAGCGUGAGCCAUAAAAUUAGCUUUCCCCGGCUUCUCCUCUUCCCCACACAGCCAUGUGCUUUAACUUUGCCCCUCAAGUUCGUCGAAACUACUGCAAAAUUGCCACUCCCCUUACCUUCUCUCCGCGACGCUGGUGACGACACCGGGCUCGGGAAGGACCAACGUCGGGGCGGCGCGGCAGCUCGCUCGCGGUGCUGCCGGUGCGCUGGUGGUGGCGCAGGCCGACGGUAGGCGGAGGAGCGGCGGUGUAUCGCGGGGACGACCGGUGGCCGCGUGGCCGCGCGAGGCGGUCUGACGGCGGCGUGGUUGCCGCACCGGCGGCGGAGCGGACCGGCUGCUGGAGCUCCUAGGCGAGCGAGCUCGAGGUCCCCAGGCUGCCGCGCGAGCAUCGAACGCAACGGGUGCCAGUGAAGUCAACGAAGGAGAUAAAGCACGCUCGGCAAAAAAAGAAAUAGGAAAAAAGGCAUGUUGGGAAGGGCCGAAGGGGAUAAGGCACACCCGGCAAAAAAAAAAAGGCGUAAGGAAAAAAAUAGUAGAUGGAAUAAAAGAACGAUGGAAAAGAAAAAAAGGAAUGAAAAAGUAUAUGUUCUUAUUUUGGACAUUUCAUCUUUCUAUCAAUCUCAAACUAACUCCGAGAAGCCAUUUUGACAAAUAUUUUUCAAUAGAAUGAGCCGGAGCCAUAAAAACCGCUUGAUGAGUCGAAGUCGGAGUCAUUUUAGCACAAAGCCUAAGUCCUGCCAAAGAGGAUCUAAGAGUUUGACAAUGUGACCUCUAUGUUUAAGCUGCUGAUGGUUAUCCAGUGAGUUGAAAAGGAGGAAGACUGUACGAAUUUAAGUUUGUGAACAGAGAAGGUAAUACAGGUCGUACCACACCAAUUAUGAGUUCACCACAUACAAUGGCCAAUCUUCCACUAAAUUACAGUCUACGCGCAAAGUAUUUCUUUUUUUUUCAAUCUCUGUGCUGUGACUACUGACUACAAGUACUGAAUGCCUUCUGAUCCGAGGCAUAUGCAACUUUACCAUUUUUGCGAGCACCAAUGUUUUGACUUCGCUCAUUCAUAUAACUAUGCAGAUACAAUACAAAGAUAAGUAAGAUAGGGAAAGUAAGGCCAACAGAUGAAACCAGUGCCUGGUUUGGCCUUCGCCUUUCUUUUUCAUUUUUUUGUAUUUUUUAUUGAGAAAGAUAAAAACAGAUAAAUUCAUUUGGUCAGACUAGGCCCAAGCAUCACAUUCGAUCCACACAAAAACAGCAGGAUACCAGUUCACAAGAACCUCAUACGAUUUAAAACAUUCACACAUAUAUAUACAAUAAAAAUCCCAAAUACACAAUAUACCCCGAAUAUUAUCUCUUGGACUAAGUAUUUCGUACAAAUACAAACUUAAUUAGUAAUAGGAAGGAUGAAGGAAGAGUAGGGAUUCAACAAAUCUAGCGAUACAAUGCAAGGCCAUAUGGACAAUACGGUAUGAAACUUCAGCAGCCUGAAAUAGCGAGACUAUCUGCCCUGAAGGUCCGUGUAGGUUAGUUGAUUAUCUGAUCCAGUAUAGUUGUCAUCUGCAGCAAGAUGAGGAACCCUUCCAACAAAAAAUGCAGCUUGCUUUGGAGAUGGAAUUGUGACAUCACCACUCAGCAUCCUGAGAACUAUGGACAUGGUUGGCCUUUCACCUGGUAACUCCUGAACACACAAGAGACCCACCUGAAUGCAUCUGCAGACUUCAUCAUAAGUGUAUGCGGUGCCCAUCAGUGGAUCAAUAAGCUCUGAGACACUGCCUUCCUUCCACAGGGUCCAUGCCUGGAAUACAAGUUGUGGAUGAGAGAUGGAAAGCAAAAAGCUGGUGAUUAUUUGCAAGUUUAACUAGAAGCCUUUCUCUUAAUGAAAUACGUGCUCAGACACGGUGGCGAAAAAAAGUUUAACUAGAAGCAAGGUAAGGCGUAGGAGACAGUGCUAUCUUACAUAGCCCAAGAGGUUCAUUGACCAUUCUUCAUCGACAAAAGAGCUGUUCCUCCUGCCGCUCACAAUCUCUAGGAUCAACACGCCAAAACUGAAGACGUCAGAUUUCUCAGAGUAUUUACCCUCCAUCGCAUACUCCGGGGAGAUGUAGCCACUGCAUUUCACAGAUUUUAGCACAUUAACUUCUGCCAGGUGAUAUAAUGUCAACUAGAAGGGGAGCUAAAUUGUCUUUUAUCUGAAUAAAGCAGUAAGAUUUGCAAGGUUGAAUUGCAACUAGUAAUAAGCAACACCAAACCAAUCAUUACAGAAGCAGAUGAAUACAAUUCCAUUUAUACCAUGGGACUCCCUGUUCAAAUAUACUGUACCCAGAAAAGAGAAAAACAGCCUUACUAGGUUCCAACGAUUCGGCGAGUGAGGUCUUGAAGCUGGUGUUCACCGAAAAUUCUAGCCAUGCCAAAGUCGGAUAUUUUGGGGUUGAAAUUAUCAUCUAGUAAAAUAUUGCUUGCUUUGAGAUCCCUAUGAAUAAUUUUCAGCCUGGAAUCCUGAUGAAGGUACAGUAACCCUCUUCCAAUUCCCUGAAUAAUCUUGUAUCGUAAUUUCCAACCUAAUACAAGCCUCUUACUUUCAUCUGAUAAAUUUAUAGAAAGUAUUAAAUGUUAACAGAAAAAAUCAGUUACUGGCUUACUCUGCAAAAUAUGCAUAUAUAAUCAGAGCUGCAAGAAACAAACUGAAACUUACUGAAAAUAAACGAGUCAAGACUCUUAUUGGGCAUGUAUUCAUACAGCAUCAUCUUCUCUUCUACAUGAAUACAACAACCAAAAAGCCUCACUAAGUUCCGGUGCUGCAACUUGGAUAGAACCGUCACCUCAUUCUUGAACUCUUCCAAUCCCUGCCCGGAGCUUUUAGAUAACCUCUUAAUAGCAAUUUCUUGGCCAUCUGGUAGUAUUCCCUGGAGAUAGCAUCAUGUAUCCACUAUUAUCCAGUUAUUUACUUCAUCGUAUCACCAAGAUGGCGAGAAUUAAUCAAACAAUCAACCAUAUUACAACAGUUGGAGAAAAUAUUUGAAUUAUCCAACACUCCACCUUGUAAACUGAACCAAAUCCACCUUCGCCAAGCUUGUCACUGAAAUUGUUCGUUGCUGAAUAAACAGUGCUGAACUCAACUAAUGGUGAGCUCAGAAUUGAUCCUUUCACCGAAUCAUCUUCAUAUAUGUUAUCAUCUGCAGCUGAUGUUGAUUUAACUUUUCCAGCAGUCUGAAAUGGUUUUUGUAUUCUCCGCACACCUGCAAUUUGGUGAAAAGUUCAACAAACCUACACUCUUUUUUUGGAGAAUUCAACAAAACUACAUAGCUAUCCAUGUAAAUUGAACGACGACUGUUACAUCUAAAAAUCUGCUUCCAUGGAAAUUACGCUGAUACAAAUGGUUAUAUUAAAUAUCAACCUGCAAAUUUCACAAUCUGAGCAACAAUAGGAUUUGAAAAGUCUCAGUUAUGCUGAUACAAAAAGGAAACAUCUUAUCAUACAAUUUCAUUCAAGAAGCUGACAAAAAUAAUGAGGUUAUUGAUUCAUUGUCAAUUUUGGACAGAGCUUCAUAAGAAACAGAUAAAAAGAAAGAAAAGGAAGAAGACUGAAGAAAAAAUGAAAGUCCAGAACUCGAGAUGCAUGUAAGAAAAAGGCAGAAAACAUCAUAUACCUAUUUGCUUGAUGAUGUGCCUCUUCAGGAAACCAAACACGCAGAAAUGCAUGAUGCCAAUCUGUGAAGCUAGUACCAAACUACCAAUACACUCAACUGAUCAAGCUUUUAUGCUCUGUGGAUACGAAUGCUCGUCAAACAGGAAAUUUCGUGACUUUUGCAAGCCAAUGAAUCGCUAAUGCUCCCUGUGAACAGAAGCACUUAGUCAACUAGAUCAUGUCGUCUGAUGAUUAAAAAAACAAAACCAGUAGUUUCAUAUGACGAUGGCAGUGGAACAUGAUGCUAUUAGAAUAGGAUUUCUCUUGUUUGACAUCUUGGCUUAGACGAAAAUUCUGAAGAGUCUGUACUUGUUUAUGUUAUCAAAUUUGACUAUUGCGAUAUGGCACCAUAUGUCGAUGCCACCGGGGAACGCGUAUCUUGUUAUAGAAGUAAAGAAGACCAUAUUUUAUUUGUAAACAACGUCAACAGUAGUGUUAAGAGUUAAAGACAGAGUUUUGAUAGGGACAGACACAACAAACCAGUAUCAAGCAACAACAAAGCUGGGAUCACCCCAGUGGCCAGCUCUGGAUGACCAACUCUGAAAAUUCAGACGCGGAAUGUGUAUGCCUUGCAGCAAUAAUGGACCAUCAGGGUCACACAUUGCUGAUAAGACACCAAAUUUCGACAAACUAUCCAUUCUCCUCACUCUUCAUGCCUGCAGGGGGAGGAUCAGAUUAAAUGCAACAGAUUUUGAGAAAUAUAAUUCUGUGCAAAUGGUUGGUUGAAAUAGGCUACCUUGUUACCGAUGGCUCAUUUGCCGUUUCUCCGGCCGGGCGGUGGCCAGCCGGCGGCCACGUCUUCGCGCUCGGUGUUGCGCCGCCGCCUCCCUCGUCAUCGCCGGCUAUGUCUCCGGCGGGCCGUGGGCGAGGCGAGUGCCCGUGUGGAUUAGGCCUCGAACGAAGCCGGGCCACGAUGACGGGUUUCUUGGCCCAUUGUACAAAGGACGCGGGAUGGCCCAGCUUUUCGUAGGGCCCAAUUGUUCCCGAUGUCCAUGUUGCUAUGUCGAUUUGGAUCAUAAUGGGCCAGUAAAUCUGCUUUUGAGAACGAAUUCGCGAGGGAGGAUGCGAUCCGGAAAUCCUAUUCAUCUUCGGCAAGAUUUUUUCUCCCUCGCCUUCCAGCAUUUGAGAUUGGUGCAAAAUAACUCGUACCGUUGGAUUCCACAAACCCUAACACACAUCACCCUACUCCCAGCCUCCUCCACUCCCGCCGCCCCUGCAGCUCGGCCCCAUCACAGCACGCACCGCUCGCUGGUGCCGGAGAAGAAAGAUCCAAAAAAUGUUAUGUUCAACUUUAAAAAAAAUGUUGGCUGAACUUUAUCGAAAAAUAUUGGUUCAACUUUUCUUUCAAAAAUAUUGGUUCAACUUUUGUCGGAAAAAUGUUGGUUCAUCUUUUUCUUAAAAAAUGUUGAUUCAACAUUUCUCUGUUGGUUCAACAAUUCUCGUCCAACAUUUUUUUCAUCCCCACGCUGGUUCACCUAAGGCUCCAACAGAACGGGAUAAUUAGCCAGCUAGUGCAGGCAAUAGUUAUAGCUAAUGGGCUUAAUUGGACUUUAUAGUUUCAAUUCGUAUCUAUGAGCCUUGGAUCCUACCAACAAAAAAAAUACACGUGCACUGCUCCCUCCCCAGUUCCCCAGUAGCAGCGGUCAGUGGCAGCAGUGAACUGUGAGAGGGUGGGAACUGAUAGGCUGACAGCGAGAGGUCAGGAAACUUUGCGUGUUUGAUUGAAAACGUAGGAUCAAAUGUGAAACAACUAAUCCAUUUCAUUUCGACGAUCCAAACGGAAUGAUCCAUCACCAUCCCUAUCUCUUACGAGCACAUGGCUAGUGCAGCAACGAAGAACGCGUGACGAUUCUAUGAACAUCUCAUCUCUUCAUUAUUGCAAGUGGAGAUAUACUAACAUAGUUGUGGAUCCACCUACUACAUUUUUCAUCAAACCAAGGUUUACCGUCUGCCUAGCGCAAAACCACAAGGGAUCUCGUUCUCGUUUGCCGUGGCUCCGGGGCGGUGCUGGCGGGUCAACCUGAAAGUUUGGAUGAGACCGUGGCAUGAUGAGCUCAUGUACGUAGUAGCUAUUUCGUCCUCGAACGAUCUGAAGAAAUCGUUCAACAGGUGGACGACGUUUUCUCCGCCUGGUAAACGCGAUUUCCGGGCCUUCAUAGUUCAACGGAGUUUAACGCGCCUAAGCAAAAGCAUCCGUGUGCGCGUGCCGUCUCGGUCGCCGCGCCACCCACCCCACUCUGACGGCGCUGCUGCGAUUCGUCGUCGUACUCGUACAGGCGCGUCGAGUCGCCAGAUCAAACCGGUUGGAACUUGGAACUGACCGGAAACCGCCAAUUCAGAACCGAAGACGAAGAACAACCAGCCAGCCAGCUAGCUAUAGGCGACACAAACCGAUCGGAAGCCUUGGCGGCUUUCCACGCGCCAGAGGAGAGGACGCGUCCACUCCACCCGUUUCACACCACGGGGCAGGCACGGCGACGGCGUCUGGAAUCUCUGGCGCGGCCCACUUGUCAGGUUCCAACGAGUGCGCGGCAGGCCGCGCCCACCACCAACCGACCACGCUUCCACUUGUCCUGGCGUCACCAGCGCUUCUGCGAUCGAGAUCACAUGCCACUAUUCAAACAAAAAAAAAAUGAUCACAUGCCACUUAGGUCAGCGACGAAAGGAAGGAAUCGCUGGAUGGAUCAGCGGGGCCUUUUUCUUUUUUUCUUUUGGAUGUAUGCGGUUGCGGCCGGUUAUGGUGCUCCCUCCUCCGUCAUCAUCGACUAUUCUACCAUGGCGGCUCUCUCGAUCCUGUAGUCUUGUGCGUGCGAUGACAACGACUGCUUGGUCGCCGCGUCUGUAUUCUACCAUGGCGGGACUAUUCUGCAUGCGCGAGCAACUUUUCUUUUCUUCACGUUUUGCUUCUAGUAGAUCGACAGUCGGUGGCAGCUGCUACCUCUGACAGUGGAUCUGGGUUUGUAUUUUUAUAACUCUGGACCGUGUGUCCUCAUGUAAAGAAACAAUUGGACGUUGCGUCCUCAUCUCAAAAAAAGAUUGGACAUUGUGUCAUCAUCUAAAAAAGAUUGGACAUUGUGCCACUGCCAACAGCUAGUGGCAGGGUCUCCUGCUAGAGAGCGCUGCUACUCGAGCUUGAGCAGAAUACUUGUGUCGCUAUGCCUCCAAUCGAUAUCUUCAGCUCUCAACAUAAUUCAACAGAAUACUUGGUAAGUUAAAUGCUGUUACAAAAACAACUCAAUAAACUGUUCUAGCCAAUCCAAACAGACAAACACCAUUUUUGGGGCUAAUAGCCAAUCCAAUAAACUUGUUUAGUGAUAGUUUUUUUUUAAUACAAGGCCGUUUUUUUAAAAAAGUACAAGGGUUGUUUUCUAUAAAUUUGGGCCUGUUUGGUUAUUGAUGCUUAUUUAUAAGCAACUUAAGUUGCUUAUUGUAGUUGCUUAUUUAUAAGUCUAGGUGUUUGGUUUGGGUUGCUUAUCUGAUUGCUAUUGACAUAUUUGUCCCUGCCAUCCCAUCUCCCUCUACCCCUAGUAAUUACCCAGCUCCUAGUCCUUGGCGCCAGAAGAAGCGGGCAGCGGCGGGGCGCGAGCGGUGGGUGGCCGGCGGCAGGCGGCGGGCGCGAGCGGGAGCGGCGGCGGCGGGCGGGAGCGGCGGCGAGUGCGAGCGGCGGCGGGCGGCGGGCGGAGGCGGCCGGUGCAGCGGCGGCGGCGGGCGGAAGCGGCGCCAGAGUGGUGACGGGAGAGAGGAGAGAGAAAGGGGAGAGAGGAGAGAGAAUGAGGGUAGGAGGUGUAAAGUGGCCCACAAGCAACCAUAAGCAACUCAAAAGUUUACUUAUGCAUAAGCAACUUAUAAGCAAGUCUAUAAGCAAGAGUGAUUGGUUCAUAAGCAACUUAUUUGCUUAUUUUUAAGUGCAUAAGCAACUUAAACCAGGCCAAAAGACAGUUACAAGGUUUGGUUUAACCAACGCAGAAGCAAAGGAAGGUGGGGAAAAAGUCAGAAAGCAAAGGUGGUGGCGUGGUGCUGGCAUCACGUGACGUCGAUGCAUGCCAAUGGACUGGAUGCUGCAGACUGGACAAUAAUGCCGAGCACCAUCCGACGCAGCCAAUUCGAACCCAACGGGGGUCCUUUUCUCUUUCUCCGCUGCUUCGUCGUCAGCGACAUAUAGCCUCGCCUCCAUCUCCCCUAUUAAUAUUCCUCUCAUCCAGGCCCAAACCCGCCGAAUCCUCGCCCUCGGGUAGCCGAAUCAACACACGAAGCACGCGGGGCUCCCUGAUUCUUGAGAUUCGAGGUAAAAUCCAUGGAACCGACCGCCCCUGCUCUAUCUUCCCAUGGGGAUUUCUUUCUCUUGGUUGCUGUAUCUGAAUUGCGAUGUCGUUGCUUGUGUUCGGGGAGGGAGGAUCUUGCUAGCCGCUGCUAAGAUCCCGAUCCGCGCGCCCCGUUCGGUGGUCGAUUCUCGCUCGCUCUUCGCCGCUUACCCUGAUGGAUUAAGCACGGUUCCCGUCCAUGGGCUUGGGAAUCCCAUUUUUGUUUCUUUGCGCGCAAUUUCAGUCGGUUGCCGUUAGUUUCGUUCUCCCCAUUGCGGGAACAUUGCGGCAUUGUUUUGUCUUACCGAGAAAAACUGUUGACAUUGUGAUUUGCGAUUUUUUUACUUAAUUAUUCUUCUGAGAAAUAUCUCUACCAUUACUUUGUUGGGAAAAAGAAUCAAUAGGUUCCGAUUUGUUUAUUCGCUCUAGGCUAGCCUUUUGUGAACCUUUUUUCAUCUUUAUCCCGCUUUUUGUUUCUUGUUACAUAUACUAAAGGCAGACACGCAGUGACACACAUGUAUAAUGCGAAUUGAGAAGAUGCUGAAUUGGGAGAGCAGUAGCAUGGAAUUGCAUAUCUACCUUAUUUUGAACACUACUUCCUGUUGGGCUGAAUGCAAUAUACUGUUCAUUUCCUUCCUUAAUUCUAGUACUAUUUCCUGUUCCUCAAAUUUCUUGUUGUAAUUAUAGAUACUGCAUCAAUAAUCCUGUAAUAUGUGAUAGCAUGUUUUUUUUUGUGAAUGAUUGGUAUUCUGUAAACAAGUAAUGGGGAUGGACAUGGUGAAAUCAUAAGUUUUAAGAGCAUUUUUACCUUCCUGCACCUUGUAAUUUCUUUCUACUUCUCCAGCUCCUGCUUUGCAUGGUGCGAAGUGGAUAAGAGAAAAAAUAAUUCUAACUCGUGAACAUGCUUUUGCAGGAUGGAUCUACAUAGAAAUGGCACUAAUGGUUCUGACCACAGCUCUUGCGGGCCACUGACAAACUACUACAUCCCAGAUUACAUACUGAAGCCAGACUCUGAACAAGUCAUUGUUGAUAAUGCACCAUCCUGCCCUGUGGUAGUCUUCAUCAACUCUAGAAGUGGUGGCCAACUGGGGAGCAGUCUGAUCAAAACAUACCGUGAACUUCUCAAUGAAGCACAGGUAAACAGGCUACCAGUUUGGAAAAGCUGUAAUACUGAAAAAUGUGCUUUCCCUUGCACUAUACUAUAAUAGUACUUUAAACCAUGUUCUCAUUGUUGGAUCCACUCAAUUUUCAUAGGUUUUCGAUCUCUCAGAGGAGGCUCCUGACAAGGUUCUGCACAGAUUAUACAGCAACUUUGAAAAGCUCAAGUCUAACGGUGACCUCCUUGCUAUUCAAAUUCAGAAGAACUUAAGACUGAUCGUGAGUAACCUACUUAUAAAUUUAUUGCAUCCAAAUGAAUUUCUGGUUGGAUGUGUCCUUUUAUUAACAAAGGAGCUUUGAAAUAGGUCGCUGGUGGUGAUGGCACAGCAAGUUGGCUGCUUGGAGUAGUUAGUGACCUUAAGCUUUCACAUCCACCACCUAUUGCUACUGUGCCUCUAGGAACUGGAAACAACCUUCCUUUUUCAUUUGGAUGGGUACGUCAAUGGCAAUUGUUUAUUUUCAACAUUCAGAUUUCCUAAUGUAUGACAAAUACCUCUAUGUUUUUGUGUGUGGAAAUUCACAUGAAUGAAGAUGCUGGUUAAAGUUCUUGUUUGACUGUUCACUAUGUACAUAGCCAUAAAAGUUAGAAAUAAAAAAAAUAUUUUUUUAUGAAACUGCUACCUACUGCAACUCUUUAUAAGAAAACUGCUAUGCCUGAGCAUCAGUGCCUGUUAAGGAAACUUUUCAUUUUGGUAUAGAAACUUUGGAGGAUUUGUCAGUAAAUUAGUAUAAUGUUUGUUCCUAUACAAUUUUGCCUGUUCCGUGGCCUUGUUCUUUGGGCAUUAUGUUUCUAUACCAAGUUUUACCUUUUCAAAAACAAUAUUCAAUUUUAAUUUGACUUUUUAACUUUUUGAAAACAAUAUUCAAUUUUAUUUUGACUGCAGGGAAAAAAGAAUCCAGCUACUGACCAAGCGGCAGUGAAAUCAUUCCUGGGCCAAGUAAAAAAAGCAAGGGAAAUGAAUAUUGAUAGGUACUGUCUUGCUUGAAAAGAAUUAAAGAUAUUAUUUGCCAUGAAACCAGAUCAGCUCUUUCAUCUAUCUCAUCUGAUGAAGUAUUUUAUGCUCUUCUACAAUUUUUGUUCCACUCAUCCCAGAGCAAGAUUAGUACAUGUCCUCUUCAGCGUAUGGAAGAAAACACUCACAUUAGCUACUUUUCUGUUUCAGUUGGCAUAUCAUCAUGAGGAUGCGAGUUCCACAGGAAGGCCCGUGCGAUCCUAUUGCUCCCUUAGAUCUUCCGCAUUCGUUGCAUGCAUUCCACCGAGUAUCAGCCUCUGACUCUCUCAAUGUGGUAAGAAAUAUCUUCCAGAUGCAACCUUUUUUGUGUUACUUGUUUUGAUUUUUAAGGUAAAAGCACCCAUUGUUAGUCACUCUUUAGUUCUGAGUGCCAAUAUAUAUACCAGCAUCUUAUUUUACUUUCUUUUUCAGGAGGGCUACCAUACAUUCCGUGGAGGAUUCUGGAAUUAUUUUAGCAUGGGUAAGAGUUCCUCUGUUCAUUCUGUUCCCAGACAAGCACCAUAAAUUUAUUCAUCAAGAACGUUGGCUGGUGUACUUAAGGUACAGUAGACGGAAACUUUCACCAUUAGUAAUCAGGACUAUGUAUCAGAACUUGAAGUAUCAGAGAAUUGUGAUGUCCCGGUGAUGAAAAUCAAAAGCUGUUUGUCUAGCAAAUCCUUAAGUAUCCUGAUUUGAAUAUUGGAAAAGGUUAAUAACCAUGACCAUCAUAAUUUAAACAUACUGCAGGAAUGGAUGCACAAGUAUCAUAUGAAUUCCACUCUGAAAGGAAGAGAAAUCCAGAGAAGUUCAAAAACCAGCUAACAAAUCAGGUAUAUUUUCAAGACAGCUCACUUUUUUUAUUGGUUAUUCAGAUUUCCAAUCCCCAUCCAUCUUCUUGGUGUUCGAUGGUUCUUGAAAUGCAUUUCUUUGAUUCAGGGUACAUAUGCUAAGCUUGGACUUAAGCAAGGAUGGUUUGCUGCUUCCCUAACCCAUCCUUCUUCAAGGUACUUUGUCACUAUUGUAGCUACAAUGCUUCUGAUCCUGAUUAUAUUAUACUACCAGCAUGUUCAGUAUAGUAUCGAAGUAUGGAUGAGACACUAGUUCUGUCUGUAUAUGGAACUCCUGAACUGCACCAUCAGCUUUAAGAGUCACUGUAUACCUUGACCUCAGAUCAUCAGAUGCAUAUGUAUGACUUAUACUACUUCCACUUUCAGGAACAUUGCACAACUUGCGAAGGUGAAGAUCAUGAAAAGACCUGGUCGCCAAUGGGAAGAGCUUAUAAUUCCUCGCAGGUAAAUAAUCUCUAUAGCAUCUGCACUGUCAGCAGUAUCACUGCAUAUGUUUCAUUUGUACCUCUGAAAUCCAUGCUGCUUCCCAUGAUGAAAACUGACAAAUGUUAUCCAUCUUCUUCAGCAUUCGGUCAAUUAUCUGCCUCAACUUGCCAAGUUUCUCAGGAGGAUUGAAUCCUUGGGGUACACCUGGAACGAGGAAAGUACAAGACGUGAGUUUCCUUGAAACCUUUUACCAAUUUGUUGUUGUGCUGAUGACCUACUAUGGGAAGAUAUUCAUAAGUUUUCGUGGCAUUAUGCAGAGAGACCUGACGGCACCUUAUGUUGACGAUGGCCUUAUUGAGGUUGUUGGUUUCCGUGAUGCCUGGCACGGGCUCGUCUUGCUGGCACCUAAUGGCCAUGGAACCCGUCUAGCACAGGUGAAGUACUGCUCUGCUGUAUCAACACCUGGUACACACUGCAGCUAAUUCAAGAUUACUGACGGCAUUUACUCGCAGGCCCACCGAAUCCGUUUCGAGUUCCACAAAGGAGCGGCCGAGCACACGUUCAUGAGGAUCGACGGUGAGCCAUGGAAGCAGCCUCUCCCCAAGGAGGAUGACACCGUCGUCGUGGAGAUCUCUCACCUCCGCCAGGUGGCCAUGCUGGCCUCUGAAAACUGCAGGUCGAAGAGCGUCAACGACCCCUCCUCCCCGUCGUGCCACAGCCACGACGACGACGACAGUAACAGCCUGGAGGACGAGGACGAGUGGGAGGACGGGAGGAAGAAGUUCGGUGCAGCUGCCACCUUCAAGAUCCCUGACGAGGUCGAUAUAGCUCAUCUUAGCUAGAGCUCGUGCUUCUUCUUCUCUGUUCGUGCUGGGUUGGGCACCCGGUUGGAAAGUUCAGAAGCCAUUUCAGAAUGUUCACUGCUGCUUAGUGAUACUGCACCCUUUUUUGGCUUUGGGAAGUUCAGAUUCCGGAAGUUAACAACUGCUGUUAGCGAUACCGCUCUCUAUUAUCCUGUAAAUUUCAAGUUCAACGGAGGUGGGAAGGUGAUCGACGGAUGUACAUGGGCAAUUGAAUCAGGGCUGUUGCCUUUCCAUCUAGCGGUUAGGAAUUCAACAGAUUUGGGGCCUCCCAUUUGUCGACAGAUGGCUAGACUACUCCUUUAUGUUAAUUGGUUGUUCUGUUGCUAUCCGCUGGUCUUGACUCUUGAGUACGGGGGCGGUAAUGAAAAGGAUGCCUUUCAUUCAGAUCGUCAAAUCCAAAGAGGCAAAACAUUUACUAAUCGCUAUUACGUGAGUGACUCGGUGGUAGCAUUCGUUGUGCCGUGUUAAACCAGACAUGGCACGCAUGUUUAUCCAACUUUCGGAGUUGAAUUUCAAGUAUUUUGCGCCUUCAAGGGUACACAUAUAUAAUCUCCAUUUUUGCUCACAACGUUGUUUCGUGAAGCUUUUGAACACAUUGCAAAAUUCUCAUGCAAAAUCUCACAGCAUUUAUUUGUAUAUCCUUCCUCCGUUUUCAAAUAUACGAUUUAACCAAAUAAUUUGUACCCAAAAACGUAUGAUAUAUACUUAUAAAUGAACGAAUAAAACAUUAGCAGACCUGUCAAGCAGCAAUGAAGUUUCAUUUAGGUCUAUAACUUCGACUAUGACGAGUUCACCAUCAAAAUUUCCUCUAGUGACACGCACAGGUGAUCGUUUAACUUUGUUUUUACUGGAAACAUGUGGGGCAAAGUCUUCGGAUCUGAACUUUUUUUUAAGAAAGAAAGAAACAGCAACAAAAGAAGUUUAUGUACAAAGAAAAAUUAAGAGUAAAUUACAUCCACCAUACAAUAACUUGUAUGAUUAUAUCACUUUGAUCCAACAAGUAGCAAAACGUGCAAAAUAAUACGCGAACUUGUUAAAUGUGUGCAUAUACGGUCACAUGUACUCCACGUAGAUGUAUUUUACGACCAUGUCAAGUGAUGUGGACAGUUUUAUGCACAUAACCUCCUAUCAUUAUCCCCUUCUCAUCUAAGUCUUAAUUAUCCAGGUGUGUAUCUCUUGUUUGUUUAACAUUGGUGAAUAAUAUAUCAUGCAAAUAUUAAGAAAAAACUAUGAUGAUGGUCAAUUAUUGCUUCCAUAAUCGCUGGAUCAGGUGGUACUUGUUCCCUAAUCUCUGAUUCAUUCACCAAAUUGAAGUUGGCUCUAGCAUUUAUUUUCUGAUUCGAUCUUAUGGAACAAGGUGGGCGCUCCCUCCUUUAUACUACUGUUUUUCCUUGUUUUUUUUUCUCUCUUCCGAAUCACAAGAACUUGAUGUGCAUGCGCAGGUGGCUUGCAAUUAGAAUAGAGUAGGGAUAUUUUUUUAGGGAACGAACACAGUAUGGGUUUAACACAAACCUUUUUACUCUACGAAUGGUGCGUGUCAUCUGUAUCAAAUUUGAAUAUGUCUCCGUGUGUGAACAUUUAUGAUUAGGUGUAAACAAGAUUACAGAGCUGAUGAGUGGUUGUGCUCAUGUGUCAAUUAGUGUGAACAAAAUAACCGAGGCUGCAUGCAUAUUCCAGCAUGUGCGAACAAGCACUCGUAUGGCACAUAUAAACUAGCCGGAUUAUGGAAUUUAGUAAAUCAAAUUAUUAUGGAUUAUGUUUAUAUAUUGAUGCAAAUAUACUAUAUAAUUGUGCUUCUAAAAGAAAUUCAUUUAACUUAUUUGAAUCCACAGUGCAAUCUCUUCUACAAGCAGUAAAAUUGUUGUUGUAUAUCAUUAUUAAGGCAGGUUUCACCCGAUAUGGUCACCCAUCGUCAAAGUUUUGCUUUAAUCGUUUCAUCAAUCAGUUCACUUGCGCACAUGGUUAAGACUUAAGACCUACGAUAAAGGAUAACGAUAGGGGUUACGCGCAUAAAACUGUCCAAGUCACCUGGUGGCUAAAUACAUCUACUAUAUGUGACUGUGUAUUCACACAUUUGACAAGUUUGCGUAUCUAUCUGCACAUUUUGCUUCUUGUUGAACCAAAGUGAUACAAUCGUACAAGUUGUUGUAUAGUGAGUGUAAUUUACUCAAAAAUAAAUAAAAAAACUACAUAAAUAGAGGGCAUGUUUAUUUUUCUCCCUUUCGAACGGAAGAAAUCUACAGCUAACAGUAACUCUAGCAGGCCCUCUAAACAACCCCUAUUUAGAGGGUAAGUAGAAAAAUACAUUUCAGCAGACCCUCUAUUUAUCUUCCUAUUUUGGGAGGUCUCUAAAUUUCCCCCUCCCCUUCCAUUCCUAGAGGAUCUAUAGGAAGACCUCUAGUUACGGGGCUAUUGCUGAAGUUGGAACUGUGACCCUUAAAAAGAAUGUCCAUUUAACCUUUGCGCGUUUUGAUUUAAUGCUAUUGCUGCGGUUGCUGUUAAUACCGUGUUCGAUCAGAAAUACCUUCAGUCACGUAAUCUGUCAGAGCCACGACGCCAGGCAGAACGCGGCGCGGCCGACGUCACACGUGAUGCGAGCGAGGAUGGAGAUACGAUAGCGACGAGAAAUGACGGCUUCUGGAGAGCUCUGUUCCCGCAGCGAACGCCCGCUGUUUCAGAUAACCACGUUCCGCGCCGCGCGCGCCCACCAGAAACGGAAGAGACAAGCAGCCCAACGGCGGCGCCGUCCUCCCCUCUCCUUCCUUCCACGCACCAGUAUAAAAGGACCCGCGCCUCUUCGCACUCCACGUCAAUCCACAAAGCCAAGAUCACAGAGUUCGGUGAUUUCGUGUGGGAGGAGGAGAAGAGCGAAGCGAUGAGCUUGAGGUACAUGAGCCGGGUGGGCGCGCGGGCGGCGCAGGCGGUGCGAGAGAGCACCGGCAGGUCCGUCAAGGACAAGGCGCAGUCGGCCUCUUCGUCGGCCUCGAUGGCGAGGAGCGGCAGGGCGGCCGGGUCGGUGGACUCGGGCAGGGUCAGCGCCGCCGCGGCGGCGAGGAGGAAGGCGGAGGAGGAGAAGCGGCGGCGCGCCGAGCAGGCGCUGCGCACCGUCAUGUUCCUCUCCGUCUGGGGUCCCAACACCUAGAAUUUGCAGAUCAUCUGCGUGUAAUUGCUGCUAGCCUACUACUGCUGUGCUUGCGCAUGUUUCUGUUCGAGAUGAAGGAAUUGUAAAUGAUCUGAUAUAUGGACACAAAUCGAUCUGUUGAUUCUUCGAACAAGGCUCUGGCUCUGUUGCUGAUCUCAAGAUGUCUCUGAUGUGUCUGCGUACCUAUUCGUUCUCUUUCAAAUCUGUUUUCUAAAGUGCUGCCAAGGUUACGCACUGCUGCGACUGCUUGUUUCCUCGAGCUGUCCGCAGUGCGUGGCGUUCUCUGUUCGUACGUGAAUAUUGAUCGACGGUUCCGUGCAAUCCUCUACUGACAAGAGCUAGUCUUGUAAAUGGUUAGAAUGACAGAAUCAGGGCAUCAGCUCUGAACUCUGAAUUUGCAAUUUGGCAUCAACUCUGAACUCUGAAUUUGCAAUCUGAGGAAGAUUCUUAAGCAGGUCACCCGUGCUCUCCACUUUCAGUUCAGCAAGGCAGUACACAUACCUCCAGACCUCCCCUUUCAUUCUUUAGUUCGCCUCCUCUCCCGUCAGAGGUGAGAAUGUCCAUUGUUGAAGGUCAGCUUGAGCAGCAACGAGGAGGGACGCCUCCCCGCCAGAACAGGUUAAGGCACGGAUCCGAUGGUGGCACGUCAGGGCCGCCAUGGUGAUGAGGGAAGCACGCGCUGCUCGCCUCCCGGUUGCUUCCUAAUUAUCAUCCAUGGCGGUGUCAAGGCGAGGGCGGUGGCUCGGUGCCGACGAGACGGCGGCGCCCAUGAAGCCUACGCGUCAGCUCCGGCGACGCGGGUGUGCGCGUUCUCUUAAGUAAGGUGGCCUGGGACUCGGGACGGCGAGGAUGGCGUCCCGCCGCCGGCAGCGCGGCCUCGCCGGCCGCCAUGACUCCGGCCAACGAGCUUUUUCAUAAAACCCCCUGAAAAUAUUUUCACAAACCCCCUUAUUUGGAUCGCGAUUAAUAGUUACGAUCCAAAUUAGGGGGUUUUAUGAAAACUGCGAUCCAAUAGUUUUCAGAAACGCCCCUACUUUGGAUAUAUAUUUUGCAGAAAAGCCCUCUUCUCCUCCGUUUGGCAUCUCGUGCUAUGCUCUGACGAUCCGCCGGCGCCGAUGGCCGCCGCAGAUCCCGUGCAGUGGAAGCGCAAGUUCCAGCCCAACCCUUCCCCUUCAAACCCUAGCACCGUCUCUUCCCCUCUUCUGGUCCAAAGCGAGAUUCCCCGGCUCCGAUUUCAGUUGUCGCCGAUCCGGCGCCCUCGUUCUCGUUGGGUCAAUGGUGGCCCGCGAGACGACACGGAGCCUUCGAUUAUUCGAUAGCAUGGGCAGGUCCGUGAAGGACAAGGCGCAGUCGGCCCCGUCUUCGGCGUCGAUGGCGAGGAGCGGCAGGGUGAGCGCCGCCGCGGCGGCGAGGAGGAAGGCGGAGGAGGAGAAUCGGUAGCGCGCCAACUCUGAAGUUAUCAUGUGCCAACAAAAAUUGUGCUGAAGCACGUGACACAUAUGCAGAUCUUGUACAGACACGACUCUCUGACUCUGCUCCGACUGGUGACGAAACUGGAGAGCAAGAACGCAGCCUAAUUUGGUCCCCAGCACACGAGGUGCAUCACGUUCUCGGCCUUCUGCGCCUUCCUCCUCCUCAGCUUCUCCACCGCGACCGCCUUCUCCAUGGACACGCUGCUCCGGCUGCCGCCAGCCCCGGAGACCACCUGCCCUCCCUGCGGCCGCUGCGCCGCUGGUGGCGCCGUCCCCGCAGGCUUCACAGCGCCGCCAGGCAUCGGCACCGCCCUAGCCGCCGGCUGCCUGGCCCGCACGGCCUGCGCCGCCCGCAACACCACCCUGCUCGCGUACCUCAGGCUCAUCGAUGCCAGUUGCUCAAAACUCUGAAACUAUAGGUGCUAUUCCGAAUUCAGUGAAUUUUUACUGUGUUGAUGAUGGAAGACGGCGCGCGCAGGCUGUAUGUAUAUGCAAAAGGGGAGAGAGCACGGCGCCAUGGCGGUUCAGUUCCGAAACCGUCAGGCUGAUGGACGAGCGGCGGCUCUGCACGCGGUUUCGCUCCAUGAUUUUCUUUUCCGGUGUGCGCGAAUAUGUGGGAGCGUCCUGCAGGUUUCGAGGACGACGGGCACGGAUGCUCUCGUCAGCGGCCGGAUCUUCAGUGGCCAGUGGCCCGCUCAAUUUGCCGAGUGAGAACAAAGCGAAAUGGUGCUUGGUGCGUGCGGACAACUAGUGAUGGGUGGGGAAGGAUUGCUAGGGGAGAUGGAUCAUGGAUGAUGGGGUGCUCUCAGUUGGGGGCCUGUCAGUUUCAGGGUUAUCACGUUGAGGAGGCGUGAUGUGUGCUAGCUUUAUUGCUUGUUUCUGCCGCUUGCAGGUUUGAAGCACACGGGUAGAGGAAUGGGGUGGGUGGGGUAGAUGGGGACUUUUCAGUUAUCCUGUGAAAUUUCCGGCCAAUGAGUGACUUGAGCUGACUAGACUACUAGGAGAAAUGGAUUAGGACAAAGUGGUACACGGUCACUGACACUGUACCAGUGAGCAUAACUGAAGACCAUACUGUUCUUCCCAUUUUUGGCAGGAUAUAACUGAAAGAACUUGAAAAUCCUAAUCAUGAAAACUUUGUAACAAACAGAGAAGCAGCUUUCAAAUUGGACUUACAAUUUUCAAGAUCCUAAAUUAACUUCUCAAUUGGAAGUUUCAAAUUUUGUCUUAGAACUUCCAAUUUCUUAAAAUCAGCACCAGAAAAUUCAAAUUCCAGGUUGUCAACUAAAAAAAUGGAUUUGAUGCUUUCUGAAAUAGAGUUUUUCAUUUCGAACAAGUACUACUAUUCGAAUGACAUAUUUUUCAUUCAUUUCAACAUUCAACGGGGGUUUGUAAGAAUGUGACCGGGGUUGUGGAUAGCAAUAAUGGAACAACAUCAUUCUUGGCAUAUGCCAAGAAUAAUAGACGCAACCAAAUAUAAACAUGGAGGAUGAAAUUAUGCAACACUAAGCUCUUCGCAAAUGGACAUCGUGUUGAUAAACUUUGCAUUGCACACAUGCUCAUCCAUACACGUUGGAGCUUGGAUGCUUCAUCCAUACGCCGACACGAACAGUUGGCACACCAAACUAUACACAUUACUAGUAGUACUAAUGCUAGCAUCUAACCUAACUGCUUAUGAUCAACUAAAGUCAGUUGUUGGGUCCCCAGUUGCUGAGGUACAUGACAGUCCGGAGCUCCUCCUCCUGCUGCCUCGCUUUCCUCCUCGCGGCCGCCGCCGCGGCGCCACCGGAGGAGGACGAAGGCAGCGCGUGCGCGUUGCUGCCGGAGCCAGUCCCAGCAACGGCGCCCCUGGCGCGCUGCUGGGCCGAGCGGAACGCGUAGUUCCAGCGGCAGAGCCCCGCCUGGUCCUUGAGGGCCUCCACCGUGCCCACGCUCAUCGCCGCCGCCCACGACGACGCCUUCGCCUUGCCGCCCCCGCUCGCCAUGCGUGUGUUCAGUGUUCACAGCUGUGUGUUGGAUCGAUGUGGCUCGAUGCGUUCGGCUGCUUGGCUCCUGUUGGGAUAUGUUAGGAAGAUGGUGCCGCGCGGCUGGUGGUUUUAUAGGGGGCGAGUUCGUCGGCCCCGGAACUUUGCCGGCCGGGGACGGGAGUCUUGAGACUUGGGAGUGUGCCGUCAUCGUCGCUGCCGAGUACCACCUGUACACGUACGCGCGCGUGGUUUUGGGCGCGUGGAAAACAGUGGGGGGAGCUCCUGAAAACCGGGUGCAGGCGCAGCGCAGAGAUUGCGUGGCAGAGGUUGCGGCGCGGACGCCGAGGAUUAACGGCCUCUCUCUCUCCAGGCGGCUGCUGGCAAAAUGCGGCGCGGCUUGUGUUGUCAGUUGUCGCCUGUCAGAGUGCUGGCCACUUGAUCCGAAUGCGGCUCGCGCUUUUCCAGCCGUGUCCAACAGCUCAGCUCUGUCAGGUACCGGGACCCGGCCGUGUGCCGCGGUUACGUCGCCGUCGGCCUCGACCUCCAGUACAGUACGGUCGACCGCGGUUAAGUCUUUCUCUGUACACGUAGGCUCGCGUUGAGAUGUGCCAAAUUUUACAGCUCAUCGAAUCGAUUUUUGACUGAAUCGCACAUGAUAUUCACCGAUCCAUCGAUUCCCCUCACCUAAACCAUAUUAUUUCCACUACGCUUUCGGUCUUCGACACGAAUCUCAGUCGACUGUGAGUAAUCGCACGAGUGAACCGCAGGUUUUUACCACGUGCUCUCGGGCACGGUGACGGUGGGGGCGUGUUUCUGAUGCUAAAGUUUAGCUCUUUUCACAUCGAAUAUUCAGAUGCUAAUUAGAAGGAUUAAAUAUGAGUUAAUUAUAAAACUAAUUGCAGAAGCCUGGACUAAUUCGCAAGACGAAUCUAUUAAGCCUAAUUAAUCCAUCAUUAGUAAAUAGUUAUUGUAGUAUUACAAUGUUAAAUUAUGGAUUAAUUAAGUUUAAUAGAUUUAUCUCGCGAAUUAGCCUCCGUAUAUGUAAUUAAUUUUAUAAUUAACCUAUAUUUAAUACUUCUAAUUAGUAUUAAAUAUCCGGAUAUGAUAGAAGCUAAAAUUGAGCCUCUAGGGAAAAAAAAACACCCAAUCAGCCAAUCUACGGGAGACGGGUCAGACGGGCAGGGGAAACCAGCGGGCUCGAGGACAUGGUUUCCACGAGACCAGGGGCUUGGAGUCCUGGACUUUGGUUCGUUCCAACGAACGUUCGCUGAUGCAGAGCGUAAGGCAGAAACGAGAAACCCCACUCGAAGACAUCUGCUCUCGGACGAGUUGCAUAUAUGAGUCCUGCAUCUCGUACGUAAAGUACCAAAUAUUUGCUGCUGCUCCUCAUGGAUACCCAAUUAUACAGCACGCCGGAAUUAUUGGUACCAGGGUUCUCUCUCUUUUUUUUCCUUCUGUAUUUCUUUGGAUCUCAUUGCGUUUCAUGACGCGGUGCCUGAAAUAUUCUAGUAGUUUGUUUCUUCGAUCUUAGAAUGGGAAAUUGGGAAUACAUGUUUUGCGUUGCAUCAUUCUCUGCCUAAUUGAGUUAUGGUUCUUCUGUAGAAAAUGUAAACUGACAGGCUGAAAUGAAGGCUCUGCUUUCUCGAUCUUACCAUCACGACGAGAGUAACUUGGGGGUUAUGAGUUAAUGUGGCCUGACUGAGAAAUGCAAGGCAUGCAAGUUCUAAACAUCACUUGGUCUUUUUGUCUUGCUAGUUGGCCUCUGCUGAUGAACCAAAUGGAGACUCCUUCUAUUUUUUUUAAAGAAAGCAGGAGCACUGCCGAUUUAUUUAGUAAAUUUAAUAUUACAUAAAUCAAAUAUCUCUUGCAACGAUAAUAAAGAUAACAUAGAUAACUAAUGGCUACUCAAACCUACUCAAACCGGGUUUCCACACGCCCUCCGUCGCAUGUUAAUGUCUUCUUUAAUCAAUGAGAAGAUCUGAUCUGGGCGCAAGCUCUUGCCUCGGACACUCCUGUUCCUUCUUUCUAUGGGAGUGUUUGAUCCUUAGAUUAAAGUUUAGCUCAGGUCACAUCGAAUGUUUGGAUGCUAAUUAGGAGUAUUAAGCAUAGGCUAAUGAUAAAAAUAAGAGGGCUAAUUCGCGAGACGAAUCCAUUAAGCCUAAUUAGUCCAUGAUUAGCACAUGUGAUGCUACAGUAAACAUGUGCUAAUUAUGGAUUAAUUAGGCUUAAUAGAUUCGUCUCGCGAAUUAGCCCACAUUUAUGCAAUUAUUUUUGUUAUUAGCCUAUGUUUAAUACUCCUAAUUAGCAUCCAAACAUCUGAUAUGACCCAGGCUAAACUCUAGCUCAAGGAUCCAAACACCUCUUAAAUGUGCUAUGCUGAGUACAUCAAAAUGGCAGUAGCUGAUCUUCUUUCUUUUGUUGUGACCUCCCCUAAUGAUUUCUUCCACCAUUCCUCCACGUCAACCUCAUCCAUCUCAGGCACCUUGAUUAUUCCUUUGGUCCAGUUACUUACUAACAACCAUACUUGCCUAGCGUAAUUGCAUUGCAGGCACAAGUGUGCUGUUGUCUCUUGCUCUUGAUCACACAUUGCACAUUCACUAUUGCACGGUCAAUUUCUUGCUGCCAGUUUAUCAGUUGUCAAGAUUUUGCUUUGCACCAGGAGCCACGCGAAGAAUUUUUGCUUGCCUUCAGCGUGUGCCUGCCAAAUCGCCUUACUGUAAAAGGUGUUAUAAGUUCCUUUUAGCUGUGCCAAGUAUGCAGACUUUGAUGUGUAAGACCCAUUGCUAGUCCACUUCCAUACUAUGUCAUCCUCCCUAUCAUUUAGCUGCACAUUCUACACUAAAUCCCAAAGGGUAACAAAUUCAGCCAUCUCUUCUCCUGUGCUCAUUCUCCAUAAUCCUCUAGUCCAAUUGUGAUCUGUAAUAUCUUCUUUAACUGUCUUGUUUUUCCUCCAGGCUAACUUGAACAUCUUUGGUGCAAUAUCUCUUGGUGCUCUACCGUUGACCCAUUCACAUUGCCAGAACCUUGCCUUAUUACCGUUCCCAACUGUUAUUGUUGUACUAGCUUUGAAAAGUUGCUUAUCAAUUUCAUCACAUCAUCACAUGGAGGUGUAGUCCCAACCCAAGGUCUGUCAUCUCAAGUGAAGAGCUCGGCUAAAGGUUUGUAGGUCCAGUAUACCCAGGCCUCCUAGCUCCUUUGGGAGUGCUGUCUUCUUCCAAUUUAAUAGACAAUGCCCACCACUUGCCUCCUCUGAUCCUUUCCACAAGAAACCUUGUCUAAUUUUAUCAAUUUUCUUGUGAGGAAAUAUAUUGGCAUUGCAGUCAGUACAAACCUCACAAGCGUCAACCUUCCAGCUUUGUCCAGCAACUUUCCUUUCCAUGCAGGAAGCUUAGCUGCAACUCGAUCAAUGAAUGGCUGAACCUCCACUCUCUUUAGCUGCCUCAAGCUCAAAGGUAGCCCCAGGUACUUGCAAGGGAAACUUUUCACUGCACAUGGCAAACUCUGCAAGACCUCUUGGAGAUUGAUGGUGUCACAUCUUAUUGGGUAAGCAACACUUUUGUCAAUGUUGAUGUGCAGCCCUGAUGCUCUUCCAAAUGCCUCCAUGAUUUCUUUUACUGCAUCUAUUUCCUCCCUGACUAGAUUAAUGAAGUAGCAUCAUCUGCAUAUAAACUAAUUCUGAUUUUUGCUGCCCGAUUCUGAAUGGUGACAACACUAAGUCAUUUUCUGCCAUCUGCAAUAGCCUUUGCAAUGGUUCUAAGGCAAGGAUGAACAACAUCAGGGAUAAUGGAUCCCCCUGUCGAAGCCCAUUUCGAUGUUUAAAUUUUGUUGUCUUUGAUCCAUUAAUCAUUACUGAUGAGGUGGUUGUGGAGAGUAAUGUAGUGAUCCAUCCUAUCCAUCUAGUCCCAAAUCCCAUUUUCUCUAAUACCUCCAUCAAGUAAUCCCACCUUACUGUGUCAAAGACUUUUGCUAUGUCUAGCUUGAGGAACAAUGUUGGCCUCUUUGCUCUGUGCAGCUCUCUUAUGAGGUUUUGUGUGUACAAGAAAUUAUCAUGUAUACUCCUCCUUUUAGUCAAUGCACUCUAGUUUCUAGACACUUACUCAUUCAGGCAUUUUGAUAAUCUUGCUGCUAGCAUUUUGGAUAUGAUCUUGGCAACACUACUGGUUAAGCUUAUAGGUCUGAAAUCUGACACUUUUCUAGCCUCUUCUGUCUUUGGGAUUAAGACAAUGUGUGCUGAGUUGAGGAGGUUGAAGUGUUGUGCAUGUUGAUUGUAGAAGUACUAUACUGCCAACUUGAGAUCUUCUUUGACUAUUUUCCCCAACAACUUUUAAUUUUUUUUUUCCAAUGUAUCCAUCUGGCCCAGGUGCCUUUUCUGAGUGCAUCUCCAUGAUUGUUUCUUUGAUUUUUUCCUCAGUGAAGUCUUCCUCUAAACAUUCUAGGUUGUGCCUCUGUAGAUUCAUAUCCUCCCAGUUCAGUGUAUCCUGCCUAGGGCACUCAUUGGCCAGUAAACCUUGGAAGUGUGUAAGUACUGCCUGUUCUUUUUCUUUUCGCAGAUGGACCAUUCCUUGUGGUUUAUCAAUGCUCUGAAUGAAGUUUUUCCUCCUCCUCCCAUUUACUCCCAGGAAAAAGAAUUUGGAGUUAGCAUCCCCAGCUUUGAGAUAAGUCAUUCUGGAUUGCUGCCUAGCCCUUAGUUUCUCAAUGGCAGUCUUUGCCAAGUAUCUGUUCUUCAAGUCUCUUUUUAGUAAUAACUCAUUUUGGCUUAGUGCCCUGUGUUCUUGUACAACGUCUAGUAUACCAAUCAGUUGCCUGGCAGCUAAUAAUAACAACUUGUUAUUGCCAAUUCUUGCUCUUGCCCAUGCUCUCAAUCUUUUGCUGUCCGUUGCAUUUUUGUAUGUAACCUCAAGAAAGGGUUAUGCAAGCUGAUAUGUUUAUUCCAACUUUCAGUUACCACUUCAGUGAAGCCUCUAAUCUGUGGCCAAAAGGAUUCAAAUCUGAACCCCUUGUAUUGCUUGAUUGCCAAAUCUCCAGUCAGCAACAAUGGGCUGUGAUCAGACACCAUGGAGGGUAGAGCCUGGAGCAUGCAGUUUGGCAGCAUAAGGUCCCAGUCAGCAGUACAGAAAGCUCCACCAAUACACGUGUGAGUGUCAUUAUUUGUCCAAGCGUACUUUCUCCCCUUCAAAUCAAGCUCCUUCAUUUCCAGGUCAUCAAUAGUGCUUCUGAAAGCUCCCAUAAUUCUUCUGUUGAUAUUAUUUGAGCUUUUGUCUUGAGACUGCAGUAUCAUGUUGAAAUCCUCGAUCAGUAGCCCACUUAUCUGAUACAAGUGGCCUAAUUUGCUUGAGCUCGUUAAGGAAUUCAAUCUUUGCAUUGUCUUCUUGUGGUCCAUAAACUACCAUGACCCACCAUGGCAUAGGCGUUGUUGCUUCCAAGCAGGCUGUGACUGUAUUAUAUCUGAAGGAGGACUGCUUCAUUCUGUGGUAGUCUCUAUGUACUGCAAUUAGAGCUCCCCUUCUACUGUCUUGAGCAGGCAAAUAGGCAUAGUCUUGAGAGAACUGGCUUCCCAGGCAUUCUGUCACAAUUUGAUCAGUGAACUCAUCCAGUUUAGACCCCGUUUGGUUCUUUAGUUCGGAUUAAAAUUCCUGUCACAUCGAAUGUUUAGAUACUAAUUAAGAGUAUUAAAUAUAGACUAAUUAUAAAACCAAUUGUACAGAUAGAGGCUAAUUCACGAGACGAAUCUAUUAAGCCUAAUUAAUCCAUCAUUAGCACAUGUUUACUAUAGCAUCACAUUGUCAAAUCAUGAACUAAUUAGGCUUAAUAGAUUCAUCUCGCAAAUUAGCCUCCAUGUGUGCAAUUGGUUUUUGUAAUUAGUUUAUAUUUAAUACUCCUAAUUAGUAUCUAAACAUUCGAUGAUAGGAAUUUUAGUCCGGACCCAAAACCAAACGGAGCCUUAGUUUCCUGCAAACAGACCAGUGUGCUGUUACAUGUCAAGUGUGCUGUUACAUGUCAGCUACCAGGUCUUUGACCACUUUCCUUCUUGGCUUAGCAUUUAGCCCUCUCACAUUCCAGUUUUAUCAAUACACAGCGUUGUUCAUUCAUUUGAACAGUGUAUCCUCGAGUCCCUUCCCAGCUUCAUCAAGACUGCUUCCUCUUGUUGAUGUUCAGUUAGCGUGGCCUGGCCGAGGAAUACAAGGGUAGAUCCAGAUAGUCCCGUAAUUAAAUUGAAUACAGCAUUUGGUUUUUGUUUUGCUAGUUGGCCUCUGCUGAUGAACCAAGUUGGGAUCUGGUCCAACAGGAGAGUUCAGAUUUUUAUGUCAUUUGCCAUGGUUCAUGGCUCCGUCCUAACUCAUAACAUGUUAAUUAGUCCAAAAUGAUUCACGGAGAGCUUGUCAUCAACUCAAGAGCAAUUUUAUUUCCGUUCCAGUACAGUAGCACAGACAUUCAUAUACUGAAACCGAGCGACAGAACUUUUCAUCAUCAUCAUAGAACUAUGUUACAAAUCAGGCGCCAAGGCAACCGGCCAAGUCGAUCUUAAACCGAUCUCGGUUGCCGAAAGCCCAAUCAGAGACACGACCGCUGAAACUGAAAGCCGAGCUCAGUUCGGCCCCCAGCAGCUGAGGUACAUGACGGUCCUCAUCCCCUCCUCGGCCUUGUCCGCGCGCCUCCUCUCCGCCGCCGUUGCCGCCGGGGCCAUCUUCUUGGCCUGCGCGAGGCUGCGCACGUUGGCCUUGGCGUUCCGGUGGACGGACCGCAGGGCGUAGUUCCAGCGGCAGAGGCCCGCCUGGUCCUUGAGCGCCUCCACGGCGCCCACGCUCAUCGCCACCAUCCACGACGCCUUCGCCGCUCCGGCCAUCUCCUCGAGUCCUGGUCUUCUUCCUUCUCGGGUGUACUAGGGAGCUUGCUUGGUGAUCACUGUGAUCAGAGAGAGUUGCUGCGUUGAAGUUGAAGUGGAGAGGCGGGGCUGGUGGGUUAAUAUAGCGAAGGGGGCCGGGAGCGGCGGGCGAAACAGGUGGCUGGGGACGUUGGUUUUCCAGGAUACCGGGGGCUCUCCGGGCUGGUGGCUGGUUGAUUAAGAAUUUUGGCAGCGCACCUUGCUUUCGUCCUGGGGCCCGUGGCGCGCGCCCAUCCCUUCGCCUUUUUGUCUAUUCGCGGCGAGAGAGGGGCUGUAUCUGCUGCGGCUUGCUGCUGGACCACGACGGCGAGGACGCGUGCCGCUGCGGCUGCAGAUAGGAGCGCCACGCAGCUGCGCUGCGAUGAAUCACCGAAACAUGACCCUCUAGGAACGAUUUCCAUAGCAUUAAUCGUAUGGAUACAUGUGGCACUAUAUUCAACGAGAGAAUGAGAAGAGUAAGAAGCUAGAUCUCAUAAAAGAUCCAAUAUCAAUACGAGAAAUUAUGCUAGACAUUGCUAAAUCUUACAAUGGGAGAAGAUGUUAUCUUCAUAAUUGAUGAGAAAUAAAUAUGAUUGGUUGGAAGGAGAGACGAUGAAUGUAUUUUAAGGACCCACACUAAUAAGUUAUAGGUCGUAGAGUGUAAUAUUUUGGUAGACUACCUAUAAAUAUCAUGAGCUGGGACUGACCUGACACGCCAUCACCUUGCCGAUCCCGAGGGACAAUGCAGAGAUUGGCAGCUCCAGGUUGAUUCGUGGCUCAGUGAAUGGAACAGGAUGAAUUAAGAUUUUUUUUAAUCUUUUAAACUAGUACCAGUACGGCAGUACCAGAUUGUGCUAUUUUUCAAAGUACGUAAGAUUUGUUUGCACGAUAUGUUUGCACGUGCUAUUGCUAGCUCAUCUAAAGUUUAGCACUUCCACCCAUUAGCACUCCAGCUUAGAGAUAUGACUAAUGGAUGGAUAGAGCAAAAGUUCAUGAAAUGUCAUUUUUACCCCUUUAUCUCCUCACCUCCUCAUUUCUCUCUCCCCUUUUGGUCUUUUCACAAGCCAUUAGUACCUGUUAGUUUCUCCCCACUUAAUUCUUUUUGCACCUUUUAGGGUGGGCUAAAGUUUAAGAAAAAGCUAGCGCAUAUCAGGUCGCGCCAGUGGCUAAGCACGCGCGACCCGUGCGGCCUGCUACAGCCUCCCUGCAAGGUAGUGGGCUGUCGCGGCCCACACAUUUUAUUAUUUAUUCCAUCUCUUAAAAAUAUGAUUGUCCGUUUUAAAUUCCGAUCACACCACUAUAUUCCAUGUAAUGAGACAAAAGUAGAUCCAUGAUGUAUAUGUUUCAAAUAAGUUUUUAUGCACUAGUAGCUUAUAUUGAUAUAUUGAAUGUGUAGUAGCUAGUUGUGUAUUAAGUAUGCAACCAACAAAUAUAUACAUAGAUUGCUAUAGAAAUAUUUAUUACAUGAUAUUGUUAUAUGUAUGGAGUACCCACAUAAGUUGCCACAUUGUCUUUACAUAGGUUGAUACCAGAUAUACUACAUAAAUUUUUAUGGUGUCUACAUAUAAGUUGUUACACAUUUUUAUAUAUAAGUUGAUACAAUAGUCCCUAUAUAAAUUUGCUAUUAACGAGCAGACAUACCAUAUAUGUUGCUCAUAGCCUUAUAUAAGUUUGAUGCGUCGUCGCUAUAUAUUUUUUUAAGGUAAAUCACGCUAUACAAGCUAUUACAUUGUAUCUAUAAAAGUUCUCUUGGCAUGUACAUAAAUUUUCAUACCUAAAUUUUCAUAUCUAAGUUGUUAAUUUGUUAUAUAGUUUGUACACAAGUUGCUACGUACAAUUAAUACAAGUUAUCUGUCAUAUAAAAAAAUACUUCAAAACAUAUCGAAUAUAGAUCUUGUUUCGUAGAUUCCUUGUAAGAAAUACAAUGGUGCAAACGGAUUUGAAAAUGGACAUUUCAAGUGAGAAAUACGGAUGAUAAAAAAUAUAAAUCGAAACCCCUUAUAAUGUCAGCUAUAUUGUAGCUAGAAAGUGACAUUUGCUAUUUCCUUCGUACAUUCUUCCCACAGGGCGAGCGCAUGAUUGGUUGCGGGAUAGCCAAAGAGUACGUGUCAGAAGAUGACGGGAGUUGCGCGGUUGUUUGUGUGCGCGACAGGUCGCGCCUUGAUGCACCCUCCUAUUAACUCUCCUAUUUGGAUAGACUAAUGCAUAAAGGUGCUAAAUUUUAGCAUUUUCAUCCAUUAGCACUCGUAUCAAACAGACUUUAAGUAGAGUAGCUACGUAAUCGUAAGGUGUGGUGUCACAACAAGCAAGAGCAACGGGACGGUACACAUGGAGAUCUGCCCCAAACUUUAGUCGUGGAAAGAAACUUCUCGCUUUUCUUUAGUGAGUGAUUAAAGUAGAACUUCAGUCAAUUUUUAAACGCAUUAGAUCUCAUGGGGUUUAUGUGCAGAUUGGUAUUUACCACAUGUUUAGAUGCUCUUGGAGUGAAACUGACGUGUUACGGGUGCCGGCAGACGGUUUGGGGGAAAACCGGGGGCUGCAGGGCGUAUCAGGCCUGCAAUCCUACUUGACCAUUUCCCUCUCUCUUUUAAUUUCGUGAUCCCUGUCUAAUUGAGUUAUGGACUAUGGGUCUAUCUGCUCCUGCUCGUCCAGUACAAAGUAGAAAGUGCCAAACUGAUGGGGCGACUGCUGCUGUUUCCCAUCCUUGCAAGACAAGCCCACAUUAAAGUUUUAACCCAAACUUUUGGAGGCCACGAUUAAGUUGUGUGUCUAGAAGAGAGGAGAAUAGGAAGGAGGCCUGAUCCGGGAGGCUGGGAAACUAAAUUCAAUUACACGACCUGGUUCCUAAUUGAACAUAGCUAUGAGCCCAUGACCCCCAUCAGCGUGAGAGAUACGGUGUAAAGAAUUCCCGCCGCCGUGAAAGAGCAGAGUCUUUAACACAUUGAUUCACACAGAAAACUUGUCACGAAAUUGAAGGUUCAAGAUUCGCAUGAUAGUGUAGUAGCAGAAUCACUCGUACACAGCCGAAUUAAAGUGGAAGAACUUUUCAUCAUCAUCGAUUUGUCAUCACAUAUUGACAAUCAGGGCAGAGGAGCAACCAGCCAGGUCUCAAGCCAAGCUCGGUUGCUCAAAAUCUGAAGAAACAAGACCCAUGACGAUUAAUUAGGUCCCCAGCAGCUGAGGUACAUGACGGUCCUCAUCCCCUCCUC
RNAcentral lists this long non-coding RNA (34657 nucleotides) under Setaria viridis. RNAcentral's name for it is "long non-coding RNA (SVIR_LNC008482)". The record is from RNAcentral. Lineage: Eukaryota; Viridiplantae; Streptophyta; Magnoliopsida; Poales; Poaceae.